UCACUGAUGGUCCAGUGGUUAAGGCCUCUCCUUCCAAUGCAGGAGAUGCAGGUUCAAUCCCUGCUCAGGGAG
Molecule: transfer RNA, 72 nt
Filed under: Bos taurus (domestic cattle)
Lineage: Eukaryota; Metazoa; Chordata; Mammalia; Artiodactyla; Bovidae
Also listed under: 1 other name
Rfam family: tRNA
About the family: Transfer RNA (tRNA) molecules are approximately 80 nucleotides in length. Their secondary structure includes four short double-helical elements and three loops (D, anti-codon, and T loops). Further hydrogen bonds mediate the characteristic L-shaped molecular structure. tRNAs have two regions of fundamental functional importance: the anti-codon, which is responsible for specific mRNA codon recognition, and the 3' end, to which the tRNAs corresponding amino acid is attached (by aminoacyl-tRNA synthetases). tRNAs cope with the degeneracy of the genetic code in two manners: having more than one tRNA (with a specific anti-codon) for a particular amino acid; and 'wobble' base-pairing, i.e. permitting non-standard base-pairing at the 3rd anti-codon position.
Source: Rfam by way of RNAcentral